RNAcentral lists this non-coding RNA (85 nucleotides) under Streptacidiphilus jiangxiensis. RNAcentral's name for it is "ZTP sequence". It matches the Rfam family "ZMP/ZTP riboswitch aptamer (pfl RNA motif)". Rfam says of the family: Previously known as pfl RNA. ZMP is also known as AICAR. Lineage: Bacteria; Bacillati; Actinomycetota; Actinomycetes; Kitasatosporales; Streptomycetaceae. The record is from Rfam by way of RNAcentral.
GAUCCGGGCCGUGACUGGCGCUGAGGUGGACGACCACCGGGGAGCGGCCCGACAUCCGUCGAUGCCGCGCGCCUGGGCGACCCAC